UGUGACUGCGGACGUCAUUA
Molecule: ribosomal RNA, 20 nt
Filed under: Polyblastidium hypoleucum
Lineage: Eukaryota; Fungi; Ascomycota; Lecanoromycetes; Caliciales; Physciaceae
Description: Heterodermia hypoleuca partial 18S ribosomal RNA
Source: RNAcentral